AUGGGCUUUGCCCAGGGAAAGCAGCAGCCAGCAGCUUCUCCUGCACCUUCUGACACCUUGAGUAUUGGCGGUUCCAUUCUUACAAUGAGGAGAACUGGCAGCAGGAAGCUCAAGGCAGGCAGAGAUGAGAAGAAAGAGGAAUUCCUGCCAGACACUGCAGGAGUGUUGAAUUGUCUAUUUGUGUCUACGUCUGCCCACUGCACACAUGUCAAUCUAUGGAGAAGAGCUCACAAAUCAACCCCUUCUCAGGUGCUUUGAGCCAACUCUUCAAUUUCAGGAAAAGCCACACUUGGAUAAGCAAUGUAAGAUGAUGCACCAAGCCACACACAUGGGAGGGCCAGGCAAACUGUUCAGGAUGGAAUGUUGCGAGUGACAGGAAACAGAUGUACAUAAACAUUAGUGGACACACAGGUCCCAGUUUCUCCCCUGAAUAUCUUCCCAUUGCAAUACUCUGCUCUUAUGUUCUCAGAACUUUGCCAGGUUAAGUUGUUAAAACAUUUAAUUGUUAAAUCAUUAAACUGAAUAUUUUUCUUUCCCUGUUGUCCAUCCAGAGCAAAGGAUUUGGGAGAAACUCAAUCAAAAUAUUUCAGUUUUUUGGGUUUUCGAUGAAGUUGAGAUUGAAAUCAAGGAAAGUUUUUUGUUUGGAAAAACAAAAAGCAUACAGCCUUCAUUCAGAUGCCCUAACAUUGUGCUGCUUGAAACUGAGUAUCUGCUUUCAGGAUCUUAC
Molecule: long non-coding RNA, 727 nt
Filed under: Serinus canaria (Common canary)
Lineage: Eukaryota; Metazoa; Chordata; Aves; Passeriformes; Fringillidae
Description: lncRNA (ENSSCAG00000000796.1)
Source: RNAcentral